This is an RNA transcript of Coccinella septempunctata (seven-spotted ladybird), 3154 nucleotides long. It is a transcript of the gene named TAR DNA-binding protein 43, with no coding region annotated. The transcript is spliced from 9 exons. NCBI's taxonomy places the organism in Eukaryota, Metazoa, Arthropoda, Insecta, Coleoptera, Coccinellidae. The record is from RefSeq and is a predicted model, not a curated record.
GACUAAAAAUAAUCUUCAUUUCCAGUUGACGUUUCUAUUAACUUUUAAUGCGAGUUCGGGAAAAACUAAUUAGCUCCGAUAUUUUACUUUCUGACUAUCUAAAAUAGAUAAUAAUGUCUGUAGAUUACUUACAAGUUGCAGAGGACGAAGGUGAAGAACCCAUAGAGUUACCAUUAGAGGAUGAUGGUACCCUUCUACUCAGCACCUUGUCAGCUCAAUUUCCCGGUUCCUCAGGUUUAAAAUUUCGAAAUCCCGACACCAAAGCAAUUCGUGGAGUGAGAUUGAGCGAAGGCCGUUUACAUCCUCCCCACGAUGAUGGUUGGGGCUCUACAAUUUUUCACUGCGUUUUUCCAAAAGAAAAUAAAAGGAAAUCCGAUGAUAACCUGGAGAAUUCAACAGCCAAAACAAAAAGAAUGGAAACAAAAUUGAGAUGUACAGAUUUGAUUGUUCUUGGGUUACCUUGGAAAACUACGGAACAAAACCUCAGAGAAUAUUUUGAAACAUUUGGUGAAGUUUUAAUGGCUCAGGUGAAAAAAGAUACAAAGACAGGACAGUCGAAAGGCUUUGGUUUCAUCAGAUUUGGUUCAUACGAGUCACAAAUGAGAGUUUUAGCCCAGAGACAUAUGAUAGAUGGUAGAUGGUGUGAUGUAAAAGUCCCGAAUUCAAAGGAAGGAUUGAUUCAGCAAGUACCAUGUAAAGUUUUUGUGGGCAGGUGUACUGAAGAUAUGACUUCUGAUGAUUUAAAAGAAUACUUUAGCAAGUUUGGUGAAGUUACAGAUGUAUUCAUACCCAGGCCAUUCAGAGCUUUCAGUUUUGUAACUUUCCUAGAUCCUGAAGUGGCACAGAGUCUUUGUGGGGAAGACCACAUAAUUAAAGGUGUCUCUGUUCAUGUAUCGAAUGCUGCACCAAAGUCCGAGAAUAGAACUUCAAAUUUUGCAAACAAUGGACCUAGAGGUGGUCCACAUGGAAAUAACAGAGAUAUGAGAGGACCAGAGGGACCGAAUAUGUACCAGCAAAAUAGGUAUAAUAAUCCAAAUGCUGGCCCGAACCAAGGUAAUUGGGGUAACCAGGGUGGUGGACCACGAGCAAACAUUGAUAUGCCUAAUCUGCAAGCAUUAGGGAUAAAUGGUCAAGGUCAAGGGAGUAACUCCCAAAGUGUGAACCCCCUUGGAUUGGGCCUGAAUUUGGGUCUGCCUAUGAAUCCAGCGCUUGUUGCAGCUGCUUUGAAUCAAGCUGGGUGGGGUCUGAUUGGUAAUCUCCAGAACCAAGAGCCAAACUUCAAUCAAGGCUUCAAUAGUGGACCAAAUAACUCGAGUGGGGGCAACCAAGGAGGUAACCCAAACCAAGGACCAAACAAUCAGAAUCCAGGAUUUCUCAAUUGGAUGAAUCAAGGACCUGGUGGUCAGCAGAGUCAGGAUGGUCCCCAGUGGUCGAGGAAUUCGAAUCAACCGCCUUCCGACAAGGCAUUCCUCAAAAGUGGAAGAUUGUCAAGAGAGAGAGGUGAUGUAAUUUCACUGGUAUAAAUGAUGGUGGUUUGUUCUAUGGAUUUUGUCUUUAUGUGGAAAGAGAGUUGUUAUUUUAGUUUAUCGUGUGUACUGGUAAGCGGACUUUAUAGAUAAUCAUGUGUUAGCACAUCUGCAUAUUAUUAUGAAGAAAAGUUGAAUUAUGUGUUAAGAGCCUUUGUGAAGAUGACUUCAAAAUAAAAAUGCUGAAAUGUAAUUGAUAUAUGGAAUGUGAAUUGUAUGAGAGGUAAUAUAAUGUGUGAUGUGAACUGGUUUUUCAUUGAAUUAGUUUUUAUAGUAUUAGCUAGUAGUUAUUCUUGAAGGAAAGAAUAUUUUCCUGUGAAUUCUUAUGCAUAUAUGGGUAACUGAUACUGAUCAAAUGAACAAGGAGAUCCAAGAGCAUUCCUGCAUCGGAGAAUUAUCAUAUUUCAAGCCUAUUUAAUAUUUAAAUCAAUGAGGAAUGCUGGAUGAUCUGAAUUCUUCAGUCUUAAUAUUGAUAUUUGAAAGUAUAAAUAAAAGUUGGAAGAAUGAAUCUGGUAAUGAUUAGUUGCUGUUAUCAGGGUGUAUUCUUGAGAUUUUACCCUUGAAAUUCAAUUCUUAACUCGCUAAAAAUAUUAGGGAUUCUUGGCUGAAAAGGAUUACUCCUUUUAAAGUUUUCCAUUGAAUUACUUGUAGUAACAUCUGCUCUCCAAAAAUGAUUAAGAUAUUUAUCAAUCAAUUUUGAUCAUCUGAACCUUUAAUGACAUAUUUAAUUUUUUUGCAAGAAAAGAAACUACAUUUUCUUAUCAGUGAAAGAGAAGUAGGGUCCAUCAGCUGCUCCAAAUAUUAUACAGGGUGUUUUAAUCGAAAUGUCCGCUAGGAGUAUAUAUUUAGAGAACCAAAUGAGGUUUUUUCAGAAAAUUUGUGGAAUAUAAUGAAUAGUCUUGAAUUGUUAUAACUUUUUAUUGACAAAAGUUAAAGUGUUGAGAAUAGUACUAACAUCGUAGAAUACUUUUUAGUAUUUGAAAUAACGAAGUUUUAACAUAUUACAGUGUAACACACUCAUUUUUGAUCAUAAUCUCAUUUGAUUAUUUAGAUACUCCUAGUGGCUCCAUGAAUGGAACACCCUGUAUGUGCUCAUUUGAUAUCUCAAUUGCGCAGUUUGAGUUGAGAUGUCAUAGGAGCACAAACAAUACUAAUAUAGGAAGGAAAUUAGAAAUAUUUUGCUAACUGGAAAUUCUAUUCUGUAUGAAACUGAUUGAUGUAGAUAGAUUCUAUCAUUGUGUGUGAGAACCCGAUUGGUGAUGAAAUGUAUGAGAAGAGGAGAGAGAAAUUUCGUAGUAACUUGAUCUGAAGUCUGCUUAAGAAGCUGUAGAUUGUGAAUGGAGAUGCAUUUCAUCGUUUCAAUGCGAGUAUUCUACAGAUCAACAAAGACAUGAGUUUUCGGAUUUUCCCCGAUGAAAAAAGUUAUUCAUAUUUGAUGAGAACGAGAGUUAUCAAGGGUGGAAAGAUUGAAACAGAUGUCUGAAGAUUAUGGUUUAUCCGAAGGAGGGGUAAGAGAUAACCUUGAAUAUGGAAAGUUUCCAAGAAGCAAUAAACACAAAUAAGUGAAUUCUGUAUCACAAGAUAAGAGAAUAUGUAAUUUCUCGGCAAAUAAAGAGAAUGUCAGUACA